GAUGAACGCUGGCGGCGUGCUUAACACAUGCAAGUCGAACGAUGAAGCCCAGCUUGCUGGGUGGAUUAGUGGCGAACGGGUGAGUAACACGUGAGUAACCUGCCCUUAACUCUGGGAUAAGCCUGGGAAACUGGGUCUAAUACCGGAUAGGAGCGUCCACCGCAUGGUGGGUGUUGGAAAGAUUUAUCGGUUUUGGAUGGACUCGCGGCCUAUCAGCGUGUUGGUGAGGAAUGGCUCACCAAGGCGACGACGGGUAGCCGGCCUGAGAGGGUGACCGGCCACACUGGGACUGAGACACGGCCCAGACUCCUACGGGAGGCAGCAGUGGGGAAUAUUGCACAAUGGGCGCAAGCCUGAUGCAGCGACGCCGCGUGAGGGAUGACGGCCUUCGGGUUGUAAACCUCUUUCAGUAGGGAAGAAGCGAAAGUGACGGUACCUGCAGAAGAAGCACCGGCUAACUACGUG
Molecule: ribosomal RNA, 465 nt
Filed under: uncultured bacterium
Lineage: Bacteria
Description: partial 16S ribosomal RNA
Rfam family: Bacterial small subunit ribosomal RNA
Source: RNAcentral